RNAcentral lists this ribosomal RNA (423 nucleotides) under uncultured archaeon. Its description in RNAcentral is "partial 16S ribosomal RNA". It matches the Rfam family "Archaeal small subunit ribosomal RNA", at positions 323 to 746 of the family's 1478-position model. The record is from RNAcentral.
CUACGGGGCGCUGCAGUUAGGUAUAAUCUACAAUGCGCGCAAGCGUGACAGUUUGAGCCAGAGUGCGUUUCUAUUGAAAUGCUUUUGUGAAAUGUAAAAAGUUUCACGAAUAAGGACUGGGUAAGACAAGUGCCAGCCGCCGCGGUAAUACUUGCGGUCCAAGUCGCAGCCAUUUUUUAUUGGGUCUAAAACAUCCGUAGCUUGUUUGAUAAGUUUCUUGUGAAAUAUUAUGUCUUAAACAUAAUGCGUGCAAGAAGUACUGUCAAGCUAGAGACAGGGAGACGUAAAGAGUACGUUUGGAGUAAUGGUAAAAUAUUUUAAUCUCAGACGGACUAACAAUUAGCGAAGGCACUUUACGAGAACUGUUCUGACAGUAAGGGAUGAAGGCUAGGGGCGCAAAAGGGAUUAGAUACCCGAGUAGUC